Paramuricea clavata is the source of this 204-nucleotide non-coding RNA. The record is from the annotation of a GenBank genome assembly. NCBI's taxonomy places the organism in Eukaryota, Metazoa, Cnidaria, Anthozoa, Malacalcyonacea, Plexauridae.
CUGAACUGUUCAAUAUCUUGCCUCUAAAUCCAUAAAACAUUUACAAAAUGCAAAUGCUAUUUUAAUACUGUAUAAAAUGUGCCAUAUUUAAUUACAAUUGUGUUGGGACCGAUCAGGCGGGCGGUUGUUUUUUCUUUUUUUUGGGGGGGGAUACUUUUUUAAAUAUGGCUAUUUGGUGGGGGGUAGGUAGUUUUUUGUUUCCCG